Molecule: transfer RNA, 76 nt
Filed under: Stutzerimonas stutzeri
Lineage: Bacteria; Pseudomonadati; Pseudomonadota; Gammaproteobacteria; Pseudomonadales; Pseudomonadaceae
Description: Pseudomonas stutzeri tRNA-Leu
Rfam family: tRNA
About the family: Transfer RNA (tRNA) molecules are approximately 80 nucleotides in length. Their secondary structure includes four short double-helical elements and three loops (D, anti-codon, and T loops).
Source: RNAcentral
GCCCAGGUGGCGGAAUUGGUAGACGCACUAGGUUCAGGUCCUAGCGGUGGCAACACCGUGGAAGUUCGAGUCUUCU